AGUUAACCUGCCCUAAGGUGGGAGAUAAACCCGGGAAACUGGGGCUAAUAUCCCAUAGCAAAUGGAAACUGGAAUGUUCUAUUUGCAAAAGUUCCGACGCCUUAGGAUGGGACUGCGGCGGAUUAGGCUGUUGGGGGUGUAAAACACCUCCAAACCGAUAAUCCGUACGGGUCAUGAGAGUGAUAGCCCGGAGAUGGGUUCUGAGACACGAAACCAGGUCCUACGGGACGCAGCAGGCGCGAAAACUUUACAAUGGCUGAAAGGCCGAUAAGGGAAUCCAGAGUGACAUACCACAUGUAUGUCUUUUAGCAAGUGAAAACAGCUUGCAGAAUAAGUAGUGGGUAAGACGGGUGCCAGCCGCCGCGGUAAUACCCGCGCUACAAGUGGGGGGCGCGUUUAUUGGGCCUAGAGAAUCCGUAGCUGGCUUCAUAAAUUCUCAGUUAAAUCCGCAGUUAACCUGUGGGCCGCUGGGAAAACUGUGGGGCUUGGAACCGGGAGAGGUUGGAAGUAUUGCUGGGGUAGGGGUAAAAUCCUGUAAUCCGAGUAAGACUACCUGUGGCGAAAGCGUCCAACUUGAACGGCUCUGACAGUGAGGGAUGAAAGCGUGGGGAGCAAACGGGAUUAGAUACCCCGGUAGUCCACGCCGUAAACAAUGCCCGCUUGUUGUUACAGUUCCUACGUGGAACUGUUGUGACGGAGCGAAGGUGUUAAGCGGGCCGCCUGGGGGAGUACGGCCGCAAGACUGAAACUUAAGGGAAUUGGCGGGGGAUUACACAAGUGGUGGAGGCUGCGGUUC
Molecule: ribosomal RNA, 796 nt
Filed under: uncultured archaeon
Lineage: Archaea
Description: bacterial SSU rRNA
Rfam family: Archaeal small subunit ribosomal RNA
Source: RNAcentral